GUCGAGCGGACGGAUGGGAGCUUGCUCCCUGAAGUCAGCGGCGGACCGGUGAGUAACACGUGGGCAACCUGCCUGUAAGACUGGGAUAACUUCGGGAAACCGGAGCUAAUACCGGAUAAUGCAUUUCCCCUCAUGGGGAUAUGCUGAAAGAUGGUUUCGGCUAUCACUUACAGAUGGGCCCGCGGCGCAUUAGCUAGUUGGUGAGGUAACGGCUCACCAAGGCAACGAUGCGUAGCCGACCUGAGAGGGUGAUCGGCCACACUGGGACUGAGACACGGCCCAGACUCCUACGGGAGGCAGCAGUAGGGAAUCUUCCGCAAUGGACGAAAGUCUGACGGAGCAACGCCGCGUGAGUGAUGAAGGUUUUCGGAUCGUAAAACUCUGUUGUCAGGGAAGAACAAGUGCCGGAGUAACUGCCGGCACCUUGACGGUACCUGACCAGAAAGCCACGGCUAACUACGUGCCAGCAGCCGCGGUAAUACGUAGGUGGCAAGCGUUGUCCGGAAUUAUUGGGCGUAAAGCGCGCGCAGGCGGUCUCUUAAGUCUGAUGUGAAAGCCCACGGCUCAACCGUGGAGGGUCAUUGGAAA
Molecule: ribosomal RNA, 588 nt
Filed under: Bacillus sp. CH460a_14D
Lineage: Bacteria; Bacillati; Bacillota; Bacilli; Caryophanales; Bacillaceae
Description: bacterial SSU rRNA
Rfam family: Bacterial small subunit ribosomal RNA
Source: RNAcentral